Molecule: long non-coding RNA, 429 nt
Filed under: Ictidomys tridecemlineatus (thirteen-lined ground squirrel)
Lineage: Eukaryota; Metazoa; Chordata; Mammalia; Rodentia; Sciuridae
Description: lncRNA (ENSSTOG00000030840.1)
Source: RNAcentral
AUGGCCCUGCGGCUGGAAAAGGAAAUGGAUUCCUCCAUGGGAAAAAGGACACAGACGGAAGACCCUCCACAAAUGUCAUACCAUGCAACACUGAGGAAGAGCACGGGCAGUAUUGUCCCAGAGGCUCCUGCCAGCCAACAGGAGAAGCGCGAGGGCCGGAGCUGCCCGUCCCAGAAGGCAGAGCAGGGCACGCUCCCCAGCGCCUCCACACUCAGCCCAGCUUCAACGCCCCCUGCAGCUGCGAGCUCCAAGCUGCACACGACGGGAAGCCUCGGCCCAGCUGAGGACACAGCGCCCAGCAUGUGCAGGGAGCUGGCAUGGCACCCGUCCCCGUGCCCCACGGCUCCACUGGUUCUCUGCUGUCAAUGAACAGUCAACCCGAGUCCUCGGCUGACGUUCAGAUCUACCCAGGGCCAUUUGCCUCUUCAC